Molecule: transfer RNA, 91 nt
Filed under: bacterium
Lineage: Bacteria
Description: tRNA-Ser
Rfam family: tRNA
About the family: Transfer RNA (tRNA) molecules are approximately 80 nucleotides in length.
Source: RNAcentral
GGAGAAGUACCCAAGUGGUUGAAGGGGAUGGUCUCGAAAACCGUUAGGGGUCGCAAGGCCCGCAAGAGUUCGAAUCACUUCUUCUCCGCCA